This is a non-coding RNA of Oncorhynchus gorbuscha (pink salmon), 70 nucleotides long. The record is from the annotation of a RefSeq genome assembly. Lineage: Eukaryota; Metazoa; Chordata; Actinopteri; Salmoniformes; Salmonidae.
GCCGGAAUAGCUCAGUUGGGAGAGCGUUAGACUGAAGAUCUAAAGGUCCCUGGUUCGAUCGGUUUCGGCA